RNAcentral lists this ribosomal RNA (439 nucleotides) under uncultured bacterium. Its description in RNAcentral is "partial 16S ribosomal RNA". It matches the Rfam family "Bacterial small subunit ribosomal RNA", at positions 355 to 788 of the family's 1533-position model. The record is from RNAcentral.
UGGGGAAUUUUGGACAAUGGGCGAAAGCCUGAUCCAGCAAUGCCGCGUGUGUGAAGAAGGCCUUCGGGUUGUAAAGCACUUUUGUCCGGAAAGAAAAUCCUUGGCUCUAAUACAGUCGGGGGAUACGUACCGGAAGAAUAAGCACGGCUAACUACGUGCCAGCAGCCGCGGUAAUACGUAGGGUGCAAGCGUUAAUCGGAAUUACUGGGCGUAAAGCGUGCGCAGGCGGUUUGCUAAGACCGAUGUGAAAUCCCCGGGCUCAACCUGGGAACUGCAUUGGUGACUGGCAGGCUAGAGUAUGGCAGAGGGGGGUAGAAUUCCACGUGUAGCAGUGAAAUGCGUAGAGAUGUGGAGGAAUACCGAUGGCGAAGGCAGCCCCCUGGGCCAAUACUGACGCUCAUGCACGAAAGCGUGGGGAGCAAACAGGAUUAGAUACCCU